This 1257-nucleotide ribosomal RNA is filed under the name uncultured fungus. RNAcentral's name for it is "eukaryotic LSU rRNA". The stretch from base 605 to 1257 matches the Rfam family "Eukaryotic large subunit ribosomal RNA", at positions 1 to 649 of the family's 3401-position model. Lineage: Eukaryota; Fungi. The record is from RNAcentral.
AACAAGGUUUCCGUAGGUGAACCUGCGGAAGGAUCAUUAAUGAAUAAAAGGGUGCUCUCUUAACUGAGAGGCCUGACCUUCAUUCUUCUACACUGUGAACUAUUUUUUGAAAGAGAAACUCUACGAGCUGCGCUGCAAAGGGAAUUGAGAAUCUCUUUUCAACACUUUUUAAACUCUAUCAAGUCUAAGAAUGAAUAAAAACCAAAAUAUAAAGAAAAACUUUCAACAACGGAUCUCUUGGCUCUCGCAUCGAUGAAGAACGCAGCGAAAUGUGAUAAGUAAUGUGAAUUGCAGAAUUCAGUGAAUCAUCGAAUCUUUGAACGCACCUUGCGCUCGCUGGUAUUCCGGCGAGCAUGCCUGUUUGAGUGUCAUGAACUCUUCAACCCUUCGGUUCCUUGUUGAACUGUGAGGUGUUUGGAUUUUGAAUGUUGCUGGCUUUCCUUGGAAAGCGAAGCUCGUUCGUAAUACAUUAGCAUCUUCUGAUUAUUGAUUCGGAUUGACUUGGCGGUAAUAGACUUUUAUUCGCUGAGGACACUCUUUCAUUAGAGUGGCCGAACCUACCAAAGUUGAAGCUUCCAAGAGCAGUCUACUAUUUUAUAAGAUUAGACCUCAGAUCAGGCAGGACUACCCCGCUGAACUUAAGCAUAUCAAUAAGCGGAGGAAAAGAAACUAACAAGGGUUCCCCUAGUAGCGGCGAGCGAAGCGGGAAGAGCUCAAAUUUGUAAUCUGGCACCUUCGGUGUCCGAGUUGUAAUCUCGAGAAAUGUUUUCCGCGCUGGACCGCAUACAAGUCUGUUGGAAUACAGCGUCAUAGUGGUGAGAACCCCGUACAUGAUGCGGAUGCCCAGUGCUUUGUGAUACAUUUUCGAAGAGUCGAGUUGUUUGGGAAUGCAGCUCAAAUUGGGUGGUAAAUUCCAUCUAAAGCUAAAUAUUGGCGAGAGACCGAUAGCGAACAAGUACCGUGAGGGAAAGAUGAAAAGCACUUUGGAAAGAGAGUUAACAGUACGUGAAAUUGUUGGAAGGGAAACGCUUGAAGUCAGACUUGCGUAUUGGAGUUCAGCCGCAAGGCGUAUUCUUCAGUUUGCAGGCCAGCAUCAGUUUUCGGGGGUGUAAAAGGGUGAGAGGAAGGUAGCAACUCCGGUUGUGUUAUAGCUUCUCACUGGAUGCAUCUUUGGGGACUGAGGAACGCAGUGUACUUUUUGCAAGACUUUCGAGUCUUUCUACACUUAGGAUGCUGGUGGAAUGGCUUUAAACGACC